GGAAAGAUGAAAAGAACUUUGAAAAGAGAGUUAAAUAGUACGUGAAAUUGUUGAAAGGGAAACGAUUGAAGUCAGUCAUGCCAGCGGGAAUCAACUUAGAGGAAACUCUAGGUGCACUUCUUUGCUUGGCAGGUUAGUGUCGAUUUUGGAUGUCAUAAAAUGACUGGGGGAAGGUAGCUCCUUUGGGAGUGUUAUAGCCCUUGGUAGAUGUGACGUCUGGAAUCGAGGAUUGCAACGGAUACCCUUUAGGGCUAGUCACCUGAUCUCUAAUUAGUGCUAGAUUACGGACAGCAUGCUGACCGUGAUUUAAUUAUUGGUUAAAAGGUUAGAGUGCACAUAAAUUCGUUAAGGACACUGACGUAAUGGCUUUAAACGACCGUCUUGAAACACGGACCA
RNAcentral lists this ribosomal RNA (396 nucleotides) under Entrophospora infrequens. RNAcentral describes it as "LSU rRNA". It matches the Rfam family "Eukaryotic large subunit ribosomal RNA", at positions 358 to 668 of the family's 3401-position model. The record is from RNAcentral. Lineage: Eukaryota; Fungi; Glomeromycota; Glomeromycetes; Entrophosporales; Entrophosporaceae.